CUACGGGGGGCUGCAGUGGGGAAUUUUGCGCAAUGGGCGAAAGCCUGACGCAGCGACGCCGCGUGAGGGAUGAAGGUUCUCGUGAUUGUAAACCUCUGUCAGGAAGGAUUAAAUGGAUAUAUGUCAAUAGCGUAUAUUCUUGACUUAACUUCCAAAGGAAGCCCCGGCUAACUACGUGCCAGCAGCCGCGGUAAUACGUAGGGGGCAAGCGUUACUCGGAUUUACUGGGCGUAAAGCGAAUGUAGGCUGUUAUGUAAGUCAGUGGUGAAAUCCCUCAGCUCAACUGAGGAACUGCCUUUGAUACUGCAUGACUUGAGGACAGGAGAGGAAAGUGGAAUUCCCGGUGUAGCGGUGGAAUGCGUAGAUAUCGGGAGGAACACCAGAGGCGAAGGCGGCUUUCUGGACUGGUCCUGACGCUCAGAUUCGAAAGCUAGGGUAGCAAACAGGAUUAGAUACCCUCGCAGUC
This 466-nucleotide ribosomal RNA is filed under the name uncultured bacterium. Its description in RNAcentral is "partial 16S ribosomal RNA". It matches the Rfam family "Bacterial small subunit ribosomal RNA", at positions 339 to 795 of the family's 1533-position model. The record is from RNAcentral.